Drosophila rhopaloa is the source of this 7659-nucleotide RNA transcript. RefSeq lists it as uncharacterized. NCBI's taxonomy places the organism in Eukaryota, Metazoa, Arthropoda, Insecta, Diptera, Drosophilidae. The record is from RefSeq and is a predicted model, not a curated record. The transcript has 12 exons.
GGAUAUGUAAUAACUCGCCAAGAGUAAAGCAGCGAGUACAGAAGUCGCCAUAGAGAAGGGCGGGAAUUUUCCCCUUCCAGUGGCAAAGUUUGGGCUCCCUUGCUUUCCAGCGGAACGCAGGCACUGGUUUUCCCGACUGCCAUGCCAUAGGGCUGACCGCAGCUUUUCCAACCAAGUGCGCGCUGGGGAAAACUUGCUCUCUCUCUCUCUCGGCGCCACUCUCUCGUCGGCACUCUCUCGUCACCGCUCGGAAACUAAACUUCUGCUGCUGGCGCAGGAAAAUCCAUUUUCCAUUUUCCUACACGCGGACACUGGCUCAAAGUAUCGUGUGCGGCGGACGUCCUUGUCGUGCGUGCCUCGAUUGCUCGCACCGACGGUGUUUUUUGAGUUCAGGGAAUUGAAUUGAGCAACAUGGAAACAUAACUGGCGAGGCGGAAUAACAAGCUAGAAUACCUCGAAACUCUUCAUUUGCGAACUCGAACCGAUAUAGAGUGGUAGUGGUGCAUUUAAAAGGAUGCAUUUGCAUUUGCUUUUUUUUUCAGUGAGGUUUUUCCUAUUUUUUCCAUAAAUUUCUGUGAGAGUGCUGUGCAACGAACGGGAAUACGUAGAAACGAUUUUUUUUAGAAAAUCGCGAGAGUCCCCGAAGAAGAAGGCCAAAGAACAGAAACGCAAAGGAAAGGCGAAAACGAAGGAAAGGCAGCGCAAUAAGCCUUUUUGAAGGUCUCCACCGGCAGCCGGCACCACGACCUUUAAAAACCUGACGCUGAGAACCCGACACUUGGAGGCCAUGAAAGCGUGCUAUGUAUGGAUGGAAGUAAAAGGAGCCCCAAUUAAUGCAAAGAUCAAUUCACCAUCUUGCCGUGGUUGCUAAAGGAAGCUGGCCGAGCAGAGGGCACUCAAGAAGGGCUUCAGCGGCGUCGUUGGGGGCGUCGCUUUUAACGGAAGGAAGAGGGAAGCCAACCCGACCGAAUCAUGAAACAUUCUAAUAUUUCCAUACACAAGGACAUGAUGGAAUUCGGAUAAGUGCAACCGAGAACAACGUACAGAAUUAGAUAUAGGACAUUUUCAACAAAUAAUUCAUUUAGUGGUUAUAAUGCGCGUUAAAGAUCAUGAAGCGAACCGAUAUUGACAGCCACGGAAGAUCGCGUAAAUGAAAGCCAUCUCUUGGGCAACGCAACUCUGAUAUAUAUAGGACACCCACACCAAAAAACCUCUCCCAGCGGAACACCAAGGACCAGGAGGAGGAGAAAGAGGCCGUCGGGCCAGAGACGGCAGCGAAACCGCCGCCGCAGCAGCGGGCACAGCGGUCAUGGAACCACCCGGCGGAGUGCCGCCGGACAGGGAUAGGCAGCUGGUGCUCCGGAAUCAGUCGGCUGCCCUCGUGCCCGUGGUCGUAUCCGCACCCACUGCACCGGGGGCCAUCACGCCCAGCCCGCAGCCACCGGCACCGCAGGCGUCGUCAUCGUCGUCGCUGCUGCCCAGCAAGCCAACUAGUCUGAGUCUUCAGCCGCAUGCCGUGCUCCAGGCCAUGCAACAAUUGUCUCCCUCCGCCGGAGGCAACAACAAUGCCACAGUUGCCACGGCCACCAGCAGCAGCAGCGGGAAUGCCAACAGCGGCAACAGUCCCGCCCUGGCCUCCACCGCCACGGCCAUAUCGGCCACCACCCAGGCAGCCACUGCCUUCAGCGGCAGCUCGGUGGGUCACCACCAUCCGCAGCACCACCACCAGCAUCCGCACCCGCAUGCCCCACCACCACAGCUCCAGCAACCGCAUCCGACGGCCACUGCAGCGAGCACAGCGCCACAAACCCACCAUCACGGCUCCAUAUCCGGCACUGGCUCUGGCGGCGGACUCAUCGGUUCCAGUGGCGGCAGUGGCAACCCGCAGCAGGCCAUCGAGAAGCUAUCGCGACCCAUGGCAUUCGACAAGAUGGAAAUGCUGGUGCGCGAGAUGCAGGAUCAGGAACAUGGCGUGCCCGUGCGGCAGCAGAAAAUGUUCCUCACAUCCAUACCAUACGCGUUUAUGGGAUACGAUUUAAUUGAAUGGCUAAUGGACCGCUUGCAAAUCGAGGAGUCGGAGGCCCUAAACAUUGCUAAUCAGCUGUGUCUGCACGGCUACUUUUUUCCGGUCAACGACUCAAAAACGCUGACCGUGAAGGAUGAUUCGUCGCUGUAUCGGUUCCAAACGCCCUACUAUUGGCCCUGGCAGCACAAGGCGCCCGACAAUGUGGAGUACGCCAUCUAUUUGGCCAAGCGAUCGCUGCGCAACAAGCAGCGCCAUGCACUGGAGGACUACGAGGCCGAGGCCCUGGCCUCGCUGCACAAGAACCUGAAGGGCAAGUGGGACUUCAUCUCGAUGCAGGCCGAGGAGCAGGUGCGACUGGCCAAGGAGCGCAAGAAGGGGGACAAGAUCGUGGGAGACUCGCAGGAGAGAGCUUACUGGAGAGUUCACCGUCCACCGCCUGGCCAGUUCACUCCGUUGGAGCCCUGUCCAGUGCCUUCGCGCGAUCGUCAGGGCCUCAAGCCCAAUAAAAAAAAGACUGUCGAAGACAUGCAGCGCGACGUUGACUAUUUAAGCAAGUCGCUCAAUCGGACGCGUAUGAAGAUGUCGCAGGCCUGCGAGUCGCUCGUUUGCUAUUCGGAGACCUUCACCGAAUACGACUUCUUUCUGCAGCCGGCAUUGCCCUCCAAUCCGUGGGUCACCGAGGAUAUUACAUUCUGGCAGCUGAACAACACCUUUGUCGACAUUCCCACAGAGAAGCGUGUGAAGCGCUGGGCCAUUUCCAUUGAGGAGCUCGUCUCCGAUCCCACGGGCCUGCAGGAGUUCACGGGCUUCCUGGAGAAGGAGUACUCGCACGAGAACAUCCGCUUCUGGAUAGCGGUCAAUCGCUUGCGCCGAUCCGCUCACUCGCAAGUGGCGCGAAAGGUCAACGAAAUCUACGAGGAGUUUUUGAAGCCGGGAGCACCCUGCGAGAUAAACAUUGACGGCAAGACAAUGGAAAGCGUGCUGCGCGGCCUGAAAAAUCCAUCGCGAUUCACCUUUGACUCGGCCUCGGAGCACAUAUACAUGCUGCUGCUGAAGAAGGACUGCUACCCACGAUUCAUCCGAUCCGAGCACUAUAAGCGCCUGCUGGACACGGGCAUCCAGCCGUCGUACAAGAAGCGGUUUUUUAACUUUGGCGGCGUUAGCGGAGCCAAGAAGAAAAUGACAGCCGCCCUGAGCAGCCAGCCGAAUCUGGGGGAUGCGGCCAAAGGAGCCAGCGGCACUUCCAGUGGCAGCUGCUCCAUGAUGCAGGCACCACCGCCCGGCAACCUGUCCCGGCGCCGUGGCAGCGAUCGUAGUCUCACAGGCUCCGCCCACGAGCUGGCCGUCAUCGGGGUGAACAAGGAUGCCGGCUCCAAGGUACCGCACUCUCAUUCCCAGAGUAAUCUCAGCGAAAUUCCCUUCAGUAGCGAUUCAAUUUAUCGAGGCGAUAUGCCCCAGCGCCACAUGGCGGUCAUGGAUGUUGGGAUCUAUGCGGCCUACGGGAAUCGCGAAAGUAGUUUGCAGGCACUUCCAGAAACGCCGAAGACGAAGACCACCGCCCUCGACACCACGGAGUCCACGUCGUCGUCCACAGCUCUGGUGGUGGCAUCGAGCAGCGCCGUCUGCCCGUGGGACGAGCCAGCCGAUCCAGUCCCGCCGCCGGCGACGCAGGUGAAGUUAUCGGUGUGUCCCUGGGAGGUGGACAGUGCCACGGAGCCGGCAGCGGUGGUGGCGGUGGCGACACCUACUCCGGCCGCAGGAAGAUCGUCGAAGAUCUCAUGUUCCGCCGUGCAGCCACAGCGGUUGAAUAGCACUUCCUCGGACAACAGCGACGUAAAUGACCGAAUGCAGCGGAAUUUGGGUAUUCGCCAUCAAAAUACCGUGGACAGUGGUGAAGCAAGCGUAAAGCGUCUGAUUCCGAACUUUCCGGAGCAGCGCCGGGCAUCAGUCUCAUUUACUCCUAGCCGUACCCCGGAUUUCCAGCUAGGACGGACUCCAACGACGACAUCCUCGCCCACCGUGGUCACCAGCAGCCCUGCUCCGCUGCAGGCUCGCAGUGCCGUCUACGGUAGUGGCUGUGCCAUCGCCAAGGAUCCGCCAUCGGGCUCUGAUGUCGAUGCGGAACUGGAGGAGGAGCUCAACAAGUUGUCACUUGGCGGGUCCUCGGCAUCGGAGUUGCCGCUCCUGGUAGUACCCACCCCCACGCAGACCCCGCCGCCCAUAACCAAGAUCACGCCGCCGCCUGGAGAGUGCGAGGAUCGGGCGGCGAUCGGUUCGACAGAGGCCCUGGAUUCCGCCGGGUCAGCACAAGCACAAAUCCAGUCGACAGUGGCCACGGUCAAGGAGGUCCAGAUCGAGCUGAUCGAGCAGGGCAAUGGUGUCCAUACAGAACCAGGAAGUCCGCCCACCAUCAAAGUCCUGGAGCUAGAAGUAAUUACGCUCGUAUCUUCUGAGUCCGCAGCCGAUCCAGGCCAGGAUCAAGCACCGACAACAGCAACCACCACCACCACCGAGGAUCCCGUGUUGGCGGACGAAACGGAGAAGUUCGUCGAGAUGGAACCGCCGAUCCUGGACGAGCUUUCACCCACCACCGACGAGUACCAGGAGGGACUGCAGUUUGGUGGCGAUACCAAGGACGCGGUCGACGACUUUGACAGCAUAGACGUUGGCUACAUACCGCCAGCACCCACCCCGGCUCCCUCUAUGGCGCCCCUGGCCGAACUGGACGUGGACACGGUGGACGAUGAGCCGUGCGAGCCGUGUGAGCCACCACCCAUCCGGGAACCGGUGGUCACCUCGACCUCGGCCACGGCAACGCCCACAUCCAGCAACGAAGAUGCGCGCAAGCGGCGCAAGAAACGAAACUCGGAGAACAAGAAACUUAGCUCGCAGGACGAAAAGGAUAAGGAGGCGCGCGAAAGGGCUGGCGGCAGCAGCAGCUUGGAUGCUGAUCACAAUGCGGUGUGUCCCUGGGAAGACGAAAACGUCAGCACCAACGACGGCACCUUCGUGAAGACAUACGCCACACUGGGAUACUUAUGAAUAAAGCCAAACCUGUUCAAGACGGUGGUCAACAAGUUGCUGAAAAGGAAGCCAUACAAGAAGUAGGGCCUGGGUAGCUAAGUUUAUUUUACGGAGUAUCUAUUAUAAUACGUACAUGCAAACAUAUUAUGUAAAUAAAUGUAUUUAGCUGUCCGCCCAAACAAUCGCAGAAAUCGAGCUAUGCUGUAUAACACUAACAACUUAAAGCCAACAUCGAUGGGAGUGAAUCGUGAUGGCCCGCAUCUUUAUGAUCAAAUUGCAUACUGUUUCAUUCGAACGUGUUAACCUUACAAAAAAAUGAUUAGAAAAUCAAAUUAAGAUGAAAUCCUGGUUGUUCGCGACUAAUACCUUUAUAUGAAUCGAAAGAAGAUAUAACUUAUCGAAGAACUAUUACAAUCUAAGUAUAUUUCUAUUUUCAUUGUGCAUAUGAAUUAGCUACUUACUGUCAAACCCGUUUUGCUGGUAAACAAUCUUUAUAUGGGAUAUCUGAAUUCUCUUUGUGCUUUCUAACAAAAAACAAAAAAAAAACAUUUUUCAACUACUUCAAUUAACAAGCAAAACAAAACUGUAAAACGAUAUGUACCCAAUGUACCAAAGAAGAGAUUUAAAUGCCGAAAACCUAAGCGAAUCCAAGUAAAUGUUGCAUAGAUAUUACGAAACGAGGGGUACAUAUAGAGAAAUAGGGACGAUAUGCCGAGUGUAGGGCGUGCGUACAAAAUAUGUACAUGAAACCACCGUUAACUUUGCUUAAUGCGAGCCGAGCAAUUAAAAAGUUAAAAAAAAAUAUAUAAAAAAAUAAAAUAAAUCAGCAGCAGCAAUAGUUCCAAAUUGUUGUCAAAAUAUAAUAGCAGCUUUUAGAACAACACCAAAGAAGUUGUAGUAAAUGCGGAGGAAAAUUGUAUUGUUGUUGUUUUUUAUGUACAUUUACUUUUUUGUAUUACCGUUGUUGUAAGUCAAAUAUGCCAAAAAAAAAUAGUUUAUUAAGAGUUUACAACAAAAUUUAAAUGCAGGCAAGAUAUGAAUUACUUUAACGCAAAUCGCAAGAAAAAAGUUCCGAAUGUUUUGAGUAGUCAAUGGUAAAUAUCUUUUACUUGCUUAUACUAAGUGUUCCCAUACAUAUUUAUGGGAUCCUUGCCGAAACAGAAAUCUUGAAUAAAUAAAACAAAGCGCGGCUGUCGACUUUACUUUUACCGGUACUCAAACAACUACAAAUCCAAUAAGUUACUGAUUUAAUUAUAUCACAAAUGGUUUAGCUAUUAUUAGAUCGUAUUUAAUUGUUACCUGAUUUUAUGUGUUGAAACUUAGACAAUUAUAAACUAUCCGAGUUAAUAUGUGGCUUAAAAAUUCGAUGGCUAAAAUUUAUGAACGUUUGAUGUGCAUUUACAAAUUUUCUCACCUAUCUCGCACAUUGAAAAAAUUGUCCUAGUGAUUAGAAUUUUGUCAUUCAUAAUAAGUUUGUAAUUUCUAAAAUUGAGACUUUAAUUCCUUUUUAGUACCUUUGCAGAAAUGUUAAUAAUUUAAAACAUAUAUAUUUUUUUUUAUAUUCAUUUAAAUCUAAAAUAAUUUUAGGAAGUUACAAAAUUUGUGCCAUGAAAAAUUUGUUUAUAAUAGAAUUGUUAGUUUCGAAAACCACUUCUUUUUUUAUAUAAAUUAAAUUAGAGUAUUGAAUUUAAAUGCUCCUAAUUUCCAGGAAUAUAUUUUUAAGAUUCAAAAUAUUGUUCAAAAAUGUAAAAAAUAUUUCUGGUUUGCAAAGUGAACUGGGUUUAAUGAUGAUUUUCUAAAACUUAGGGCGAUUUUUGUUUUAAUUGCGUCUUGGAAUGGUUAAUAACAUAAUUUUAGCCGACAGUGACUGGAAUUCUAAACCAAGAACAUUGAAUGUGUAUUUAGUUGAAUAAUAUUUGCUUCUUUGAGUACCGGGUAAACAUAGAACUAUACAUAAAGGGUCCGAUGGAAUGAUUGAGCCGCCACAGCGCCAUUUUGAUAAUAAACAAAUAAUUCGAUAACUAACGUUUAAUAAAUUACAUAAGUACGUACUACUUCACGCGACAGGUGGGUGGCAUUUGCCCUACAAAUAUUUACUUUAAUUUCUGGAUAAUUAGUGCUCAUAUCACUGAUUAGAGAACAGGAAUGCGCAAAACAAUAUGCUUAAUACAUAAGAUUCCAGAGCUUUUAGUAACGCCAUGUAAAUUCUGGGUCAUGAAUACAGUUGUGAAGAGUGUAACCGAGGCGUUUGUUAUUAUGUAUUCAAGUCAUUUACUAUAAGUGUAUACAGCUUAUACUAUUACAAAAGUGUUAAAAACAUGAAUUAUUUUGAGAAAACCAAAAAAAAAGAAUAUACAACAAAAAUGUUAGUCGGUAAAAAAAUCAAAUGUAAAACAAUUUAAUGUAGACUGUACCAAAAAUUCAAGGAAAAUUGAAUAUCAACACUCCAUCACGCAAAUAACUAAAAGGAAAUUCGCAAAUUGAAUAGAUGUUGAUGGGAAAAUUAUUUGCACAGUGCAGAAAAACGUGUUAUAAAAUUAUUAUACUAUACAAAAAAUAUAUAUUAUUGAAUUAUGCUGAUGAAAUUAAAAACCAUAAAAGUAUGUAAA